Long non-coding RNA from Oreochromis niloticus (Nile tilapia), 1464 nucleotides. RefSeq lists it as uncharacterized. The record is from RefSeq and is a predicted model, not a curated record. The transcript has 2 exons. Lineage: Eukaryota; Metazoa; Chordata; Actinopteri; Cichliformes; Cichlidae.
UCCAGAUAAGAUGGGGCCUGAUUCUUCAAGACCUUGUAUAUGAGGAGCAGGAUUUUAAAUUCUGGAUAUAACAGGGAGAGAAUGAAGGGAAGCCAGUAUAGGAGAAAUAUGCUCUCUCUUUCUAGUGCCUGUCAGUACUCGCUUGCAGCAUUUUGGAUUAAUUGAAGACUUUUCAGACAAUGAUGACGAUGACAACGAUGAUGAUAAUGACGUUCUUUCCAGGGGUCAUGUACUUUGUGUUGCAGUGAUUACAUUAUUAAAGGCACUGUCUUCAUAAGCAGCACAGGCCUGAGGUAAAAUCACUUUUCCUCAGAUGCUGCCAGGCUGACCUGUUAGCCAACAGUCAGCCAGAGCAGAUGGAGCCCUCUAGUGUUCAUGUGAAGAACUGCUGAUAAGGAGCUCCUGCAUGGCCGUUCAUAUACACCUAAUAAUUAACAGAUAAACAACCAAAUGACAGAAAAGUUACUGUUUUUUCACAUCUGCGUUGGAAAUGUCAGGUUUUUUUUUAAUGUGUCCACAGUAAAAACAUUAAAAAUGAAAAGAUUCCAAAACAAGAUUUUAAAAAAAGAAAAUUUCAGUUUUCUGACUGCAGGACAGUUGGAGCGAUGAGCUGCUCUACACCAGUGUGUACAAAAACUGCAUUUGUUCCUUCUACUAGUUAAACUUGCAUACUGUGAUAAAUGCACUUUUUGUACACACUGUAGUUCUAGUAAAAGUACUUCUACUUUAACAUAGUGCUCACAACGAUACUGACUUCUUCCUCUGAAAACAACGUCAGAGUAUUUCAACAUACAUUUGAGUACUUCAUCAUACAUCAGAGUACUUCAACAUCACACACAGUACUUCAACACAUAUCAGAGUGCUUCAUGAUAUAUCAGAGUAUUUCAUCACACAUCACAAUACUUCAACAUCACACAGAGUACUUCAUUACACAUCUGAGUACUUCAACAUACAUCUAAGUACCUUAUCAUACAUCACAGUACUUCAACAUCACACAGAGUACUUCAUCACACAUCAGAGUAUUUUAUCACAUCACACAGAGUACUUCAUCACAUAUCAGAGUACUUCAAAACACAUGAGAAUACUUCAUCAUACAUCAGAGUACUUCAACACACAGAGAGAGGGGAGACCUCGGCUCAUCCAGCUGGACAGCCUGACCAGGAGGAGUCGAACAUUAACUCUGCUCUUCCAGGGCACCCUGCAGACUCAGCUGCUGGCAUUGGCUAGGGAGUGCGGCCGCCGCUGGGAUGGCGUGAACGCCAAACUGGAGUCCAUCAUAGGUUGACUGCAGCUCCUUGUCUCAGAGUGGGAGGGAUUUGAAGCACAAAGGGAGGAGCUUGUCGUUUGGUUGGCUGAUAUGGAUGUCCGCCUGAGUGAGGUUGACCAGCUGACAGGAAACACCUGAGAAAAACUGAAACAACUGCAGGUGUGGGGUUGUUUUGAUAUGACAUAUAUUUGAUAUGA